This 77-nucleotide transfer RNA is filed under the name Bacteroidales bacterium. RNAcentral's name for it is "tRNA-Val". It matches the Rfam family "tRNA". Rfam says of the family: Transfer RNA (tRNA) molecules are approximately 80 nucleotides in length. Their secondary structure includes four short double-helical elements and three loops (D, anti-codon, and T loops). Further hydrogen bonds mediate the characteristic L-shaped molecular structure. tRNAs have two regions of fundamental functional importance: the anti-codon, which is responsible for specific mRNA codon recognition, and the 3' end, to which the tRNAs corresponding amino acid is attached (by aminoacyl-tRNA synthetases). tRNAs cope with the degeneracy of the genetic code in two manners: having more than one tRNA (with a specific anti-codon) for a particular amino acid; and 'wobble' base-pairing, i.e. permitting non-standard base-pairing at the 3rd anti-codon position. The record is from RNAcentral. Lineage: Bacteria; Pseudomonadati; Bacteroidota; Bacteroidia; Bacteroidales.
GGGCGCAUAGCUCAACUGGUUCAGAGCACCUGCCUUACAAGCAGGGGUCCGCGGUUCGAACCCGUGUGCGCCCACCA